Molecule: ribosomal RNA, 466 nt
Filed under: uncultured bacterium
Lineage: Bacteria
Description: partial 16S ribosomal RNA
Rfam family: Bacterial small subunit ribosomal RNA
Source: RNAcentral
GAUGAACGCUGGCGGCGUGCUUAACACAUGCAAGUCGAACGAUGAAGCCCAGCUUGCUUGGUGGAUUAGUGGCGAACGGGUGAGUAACACGUGAGUAACCUGCCCUUAACUCUGGGAUAAGCCUGGGAAACUGGGUCUAAUACCGGAUAGGAGCGUCCACCGCAUGGUGGGUGUUGGAAAGAUUUAUCGGUUUUGGAUGGACUCGCGGCCUAUCAGCUUGUUGGUGAGGUAAUGGCUCACCAAGGCGACGACGGGUAGCCGGCCUGAGAGGGUGACCGGCCACACUGGGACUGAGACACGGCCCAGACUCCUACGGGAGGCAGCAGGGGGGAAUAUUGCACAAUGGGCGCAAGCCUGAUGCAGCGACGCCGCGUGAGGGAUGACGGCCUUCGGGUUGUAAACCGCUUUCAGUAGGGAAGAAGCGAAAGUGACGGUACCUGCAGAAGAAGCACCGGCUAACUACGUG